This is a long non-coding RNA of Sinocyclocheilus grahami, 668 nucleotides long. RefSeq lists it as uncharacterized. The transcript is spliced from 3 exons. The record is from RefSeq and is a predicted model, not a curated record. NCBI's taxonomy places the organism in Eukaryota, Metazoa, Chordata, Actinopteri, Cypriniformes, Cyprinidae.
AAUAUGAUAUAACGCAUCAAACCUGACUGUGUGAAUAAUUGAGCACUGUGAUUGGUUGACCGUUUUCGUCAAGCGGUGCUCGGCGCGCGCGGGCUUCACAAGCUAAAGCGAAAACCGUCUGACUUACUGAAAAUAUAUAUUUUUUUCCUUUCUCAAAUGGGGUAUUUAUUGUCCACAGUAAAGUUUGUUCAUAUCUGUAGCAUUGUAACUCUCAUCACACCAUCCAGCCAAGUCAAGACGAUCGAGAAGCUACGUUUGAGAAGUGCAGUAUGAUUGAUGAAUGACUACUGUACUCACUUGCAAUCAGGACACAGACAGAUGGAGCUGGAGGACAAAAAGUGAGCAUAGUACGAACAGAUGACAUGGAGACACCUCCUUUUUUCUAGUUGCCACAACAUCAUCAGUAACCCAGGAAACCCAUUGAAACAAGAAGGACCCAGGAAAUGAAGUAAUGAUUCAGGAAUGUUGGGAGACAAGAGUUUCCCCCACAGCUGAAAUCUCCCUCUCCAGAGGAGAAUAGCAAACAGAGUAGCUCUGUCUGAAGCCACAUGAGGUCAACAGUCCUUGGACAACAACAAAACAUUACCCAUAACACAACAGAAUGCAUGAUCUAAUUACAACCUAUAUCUAUGUAAAAAUCUCUACUAACCUAAUAAUAAAUAAAACAG